GACGAACGCUGGCGGCGUGCCUAAUACAUGCAAGUCGAGCGGACGAAUCGAACGCUUGCUUGUGAUUCGUUAGCGGCGGACGUGUGAAUAACGCGUGUACAACCUCCCCUGUAGACGGGGAUAACACCGAGAAAUCGGUUCUAAUAGCGGAUAACACGCAGUGUCGCAUUGCGGUUCGUUGAAAUACGGCGCAAGGUGUCGCUACAGGAGGGUCCCGCGGCGCAUGAGGUGGUUGGUGUGGUAACGGCUCACCAAGGCGACGAUGCGUAGCGGCCAUGAGAGGGUGAUCGGCCACACUGGGACUGAGACACGGCCCAGAGUCCUACGGGAGGCAGCAGUAGGGAAUCUUCCGCAAUGGGCGAAAGUCUGACGGAGCAACGCCGCGUGAGGGAAGAAGGCAUUCGGGUCGGAAAGCUCUGUUGUUAGGGAAGAACAAGUAACGCAGUAACUGGCGUUACCGUGACGGUAACUAACGAGAAAGCCACGGCUAACUACGUG
RNAcentral lists this ribosomal RNA (498 nucleotides) under uncultured bacterium. Its description in RNAcentral is "partial 16S ribosomal RNA". It matches the Rfam family "Bacterial small subunit ribosomal RNA", at positions 28 to 507 of the family's 1533-position model. The record is from RNAcentral.